CCGAGUUAGGGUUCCUCUCACGGGCCCGACCUCCCAACCCUGUGUCUACCACACCUUGUCGUUGCUUCGGCGGACCGGUUUCGACUCCCCUGCUCCCAGGGGGGUUUGUGACCGCCGGGGGUGUUUUUUCACCCCGGGAGAGCGUCCGCCGAUGGCCCAACCACAACUCUUUGUCCCCAAACAGGUCGUCUAAAGCAAUACUUGAGAUAAUCAAAAAAACA
Molecule: unclassified non-coding RNA, 221 nt
Filed under: uncultured Ascomycota
Lineage: Eukaryota; Fungi; Ascomycota
Description: sequence contains ITS1
Source: RNAcentral